AACGCGAAGAACCUUACCUGGGCUCGAACGGCUUCGGACAAUCCUUGGAAACAGGGACUUCCCGCAAGGGACUGGAGUCGAGGUGCUGCAUGGCUGUCGUCAGCUCGUGUCGUGAGAUGUUGGGUUAAGUCCCGCAACGAGCGCAACCCUUGUCCUGUGUUGGCAUGCCGCAAGGCGCAACUCUCAGGAGACCGCCAGCGAUAAGCUGGAGGAAGGUGGGGAUGACGUCAAGUCAUCAUGGCCUUUAUGUCCAGGGCCACACACGUGCUACAAUGGGCGGUACAAAGCGCUGCCAACCCGCGAGGGGGAGCUAAUCGCCAAAAAACCGUCCUCAGUUCGGAUUGCAGGCUGCAACUCGCCUGCAUGAAGCUGGAAUCGCUAGUAAUGCUAUAUCAGAACGAUAGCGUGAAUACGUUCCCGGGCCUUGUA
Molecule: ribosomal RNA, 429 nt
Filed under: uncultured Acidobacterium sp.
Lineage: Bacteria; Pseudomonadati; Acidobacteriota; Terriglobia; Terriglobales; Acidobacteriaceae
Description: bacterial SSU rRNA
Rfam family: Bacterial small subunit ribosomal RNA
Source: RNAcentral